This 427-nucleotide ribosomal RNA is filed under the name uncultured bacterium. Its description in RNAcentral is "partial 16S ribosomal RNA". It matches the Rfam family "Bacterial small subunit ribosomal RNA", at positions 355 to 774 of the family's 1533-position model. The record is from RNAcentral.
UAGGGAAUCUUCGGCAAUGGGGGGAACCCUGACCGAGCAACGCCGCGUGAGUGAAGAAGGUUUUCGGAUCGUAAAGCUCUGUUGUAAGAGAAGAACGGGUGUGAGAGUGGAAAGUUCACACUGUGACGGUAUCUUACCAGAAAGGGACGGCUAACUACGUGCCAGCAGCCGCGGUAAUACGUAGGUACCGAGCGUUGUCCGGAUUUAUUGGGCGUAAAGCGAGCGCAGGCGGUUAGAUAAGUCUGAAGUUAAAGGCUGUGGCUUAACCAUAGUAUGCUUUGGAAACUGUUUAACUUGAGUGCAGAAGGGGAGAGUGGAAUUCCAUGUGUAGCGGUGAAAUGCGUAGAUAUAUGGAGGAACACCGGUGGCGAAAGCGGCUCUCUGGUCUGUAACUGACGCUGAGGCUCGAAAGCGUGGGGAGCAAACA